RNAcentral lists this ribosomal RNA (903 nucleotides) under uncultured Lentimicrobium sp. Its description in RNAcentral is "bacterial SSU rRNA". It matches the Rfam family "Bacterial small subunit ribosomal RNA", at positions 588 to 1502 of the family's 1533-position model. The record is from RNAcentral. Lineage: Bacteria; Pseudomonadati; Bacteroidota; Bacteroidia; Bacteroidales; Lentimicrobiaceae.
UCAGGGGGUGAAAUCCCACAGCUCAACUGUGGAACUGCCUUUGAUACUGUCAGUCUAGAGUAUAGUUGAAGUUGGCGGAAUGUGUCAUGUAGCGGUGAAAUGCUUAGAUAUGACACAGAACACCGAUCGCGAAGGCAGCUAGCUAAGCUAUAACUGACGCUCAUGCACGAAAGCGUGGGGAUCAAACAGGAUUAGAUACCCUGGUAGUCCACGCUGUAAACGAUGAUUACUCGGUGUUGGCGAUACACAGUCAGCGUCUGAGCGAAAGCAAUAAGUAAUCCACCUGGGGAGUACGAUCGCAAGAUUGAAACUCAAAGGAAUUGACGGGGGCCCGCACAAGCGGAGGAGCAUGUGGUUUAAUUCGAUGAUACGCGAGGAACCUUACCUGGGCUCGAACGUAAGAUGACUGUAGGUGAAAGCUUACACCUCUUCGGAGCAUUUUACGAGGUGCUGCAUGGUUGUCGUCAGCUCGUGCCGUGAGGUGUCGGGUUAAGUCCCAUAACGAGCGCAACCCCUACCUUUAGUUGCCAUCAGGUCAUGCUGGGGACUCUAAAGGAACUGCCUACGCAAGUAGUGAGGAAGGCGGGGAUGACGUCAAAUCAGCACGGCCCUUACGUCCAGGGCUACACACGUGCUACAAUGGCCGAUACAGAGGGCAGCUACCUGGUGACAGGAUGCAAAUCUCCAAAGUCGGUCUCAGUUCGGAUCGGAGUCUGCAACCCGACUCCGUGAAGUUGGAUUCGCUAGUAAUCGCGCAUCAGCCAUGGCGCGGUGAAUACGUUCCCGGGCCUUGUACACACCGCCCGUCAAGCCAUGGAAGCUGGGGGGACCUAAAGUCGAUAACCGCAAGGAGUCGCCUAGGGUAAAACCAGUGACUGGGGCUAAGUCGUAACAAGGUAGCCG